RNAcentral lists this ribosomal RNA (445 nucleotides) under uncultured bacterium. RNAcentral's name for it is "partial 16S ribosomal RNA". It matches the Rfam family "Bacterial small subunit ribosomal RNA", at positions 29 to 523 of the family's 1533-position model. The record is from RNAcentral.
AACGAACGCUGGCGGCAGGCUUAACACAUGCAAGUCGAACGCCCCGCAAGGGGAGUGGCAGACGGGUGAGUAACGCGUGGGAACAUACCCUUUCCUGCGGAAUAGCUCUGGGAAACUGGAAUUAAUACCGCAUACGCCCUACGGGGGAAAGAUUUAUCGGGGAAGGAUUGGCCCGCGUUGGAUUAGCUAGUUGGUGGGGUAAAGGCCUACCAAGGCGACGAUCCAUAGCUGGUCUGAGAGGAUGAUCAGCCACAUUGGGACUGAGACACGGCCCAAACUCCUACGGGGGGCAGCAGUGGGGAAUAUUGGACAAUGGGCGCAAGCCUGAUCCAGCCAUGCCGCGUGAGUGAUGAAGGCCUUAGGGUUGUAAAGCUCUUUCACCGAUGAAGAUAAUGACGGUAGUCGGAAGAAGCCCCGGCUAACUUCGUGCCAGCCGCCGCAGUAA